GACGAACGCUGGCGGCGUGCUUAACACAUGCAAGUCGAACGGAAAGGCCCUGCUUUUGUGGGGUGCUCGAGUGGCGAACGGGUGAGUAACACGUGAGUAACCUGCCCUUGACUUUGGGAUAACUUCAGGAAAAUGGGGCUAAUACCGGAUAGGAGCUCCUGCUGCAUGGUGGGGGUUGGUAAGUUUCGGCUGUGGGGGAUGGACUCGCGGCUUAUCAGCUUGUUGGUGGGGUAGUGGCUUACCAAGGCUUUGACGGGUAGCCGGCCUGAGAGGGUGACCGGCCACAUUGGGACUGAGAUACGGCCCAGACUCCUACGGGAGGCAGCAGUGGGGAAUAUUGCACAAUGGGCGGAAGCCUGAUGCAGCAACGCCGCGUGCGGGAUGACGGCCUUCGGGUUGUAAACCGCUUUCGCCUGUGACGAAGCGUGAGUGACGGUAAUGGGUAAAGAAGCACCGGCUAACUACGUG
Molecule: ribosomal RNA, 468 nt
Filed under: uncultured bacterium
Lineage: Bacteria
Description: partial 16S ribosomal RNA
Rfam family: Bacterial small subunit ribosomal RNA
Source: RNAcentral